UCAGACGGCCGGACGGCCGCGGGCGGAAACGUCCGAGGAAAGUCCGGGCUCCAUGGAGAAACGGCGCCGGGUAACGCCCGGCCGGCGAAGUCCCGAAAUGGACGAGCCGAGGGAAAGCGCCACAGAGAACGAACCGCCGCCUUCGGGCGGCAAGGGUGAAAAGGUGCGGUAAGAGCGCACCGGCGGACGAGCAAUCGGACGCGCAUGGCAAGCCCCGCCGGGAGCAAGACCGAAUAGGGAUCGCGCGUCGCAAGACAGGCCGCUCCAGGCCGAGCGAUCCGGGUUGGUUGCUGGAGGCGGCGCGCAAGCGCCGUCCAAGAGGAAUGGUCGUCCCUUCGCAAGGAGGACAGAACCCGGCUUACAGGCCGUCUGACGCA
This 377-nucleotide RNase P RNA is filed under the name Parvularculaceae bacterium. RNAcentral's name for it is "RNase P RNA component class A". It matches the Rfam family "Bacterial RNase P class A". Rfam says of the family: Ribonuclease P (RNase P) is a ubiquitous endoribonuclease, found in archaea, bacteria and eukarya as well as chloroplasts and mitochondria. Its best characterised activity is the generation of mature 5'-ends of tRNAs by cleaving the 5'-leader elements of precursor-tRNAs. The record is from RNAcentral. Lineage: Bacteria; Pseudomonadati; Pseudomonadota; Alphaproteobacteria; Parvularculales; Parvularculaceae.